This is a long non-coding RNA of Salmo salar (Atlantic salmon), 1022 nucleotides long. RefSeq lists it as uncharacterized. Lineage: Eukaryota; Metazoa; Chordata; Actinopteri; Salmoniformes; Salmonidae. The record is from RefSeq and is a predicted model, not a curated record.
ACGUUCAUAAAAAUGCAAAGUGAUUUGAUAUCAGCCAACUCAAAUGCUGCGUUUCCAUUUGUAAAUUCUUCCAUUAUUACCCGUUUAGACAAAAUGGAUCUGUAGCACUUGCGCAGUAAUCUGCAUGUCUGUAAAAAGCCACUUGCUGGGCUAGAAAGAGAAGGGAAGCCUCUGCUAACGAAAGAUAACGAAUUAGCUAGUUCAAUAAAAGCGUUGUACAGUCAUUUAGCUAGCUAUUUUAAUAUAUGAUUAAAUAAACGACAAAGAUAGUGGCGUAAUGUUGUCGCUGUUGGUAAUCUUAGCUUGCAAUGCUAUCGUUAGCUAGCUACCGUUACUUGACUACUAUUUCCAAAGUUGCAAAAUAAGAAGUUAUCAAUCUAACAUUAAUCCUCUACAAUAUAUAUUUGUCUCACAAUAUAUAACGCAGCUGAUGACGAAUAUGCUGCUUUUUGGCAACACCUUCUGUCCAAAGAAUACCCCUUGCAAGUCUGUUUCUGUCUUCAAUCUGCACACCUUGGAUUGGUCUACGAGGGCAAUAGAGUUGGGUCUUGAGUAUGCAGCCCCUGUUAUGAACAUUGGGGGCCAUAGCUUGACAUUUGAAGACGGACAAUGGAUUGCAGUCUGAAGGGAAUGUAUCUGGGAAGGAGGUGCAGAGACUGAAAAAUAGGAACCUACAGCUUGAAAAGGAGAACAACCUACUCAGGCUGAAGAUUGACCUCCUGUUGGACAUCUUGUCAGAAACCACUGCAGAGUCUCACCUGAUGGAGAAGGAGCUGGAAAAGAUGAAGAUUCACAGUUGAAGGAAGAAGUGAUGAAUAGAAAAUUGCAGACAGGUUCCCAGUGAUACCUGAAAAUGAAGAAGGGAAUAGAUAAAGGAUUGUGAGUGUUAGUGACUAAUCAAUUGUAUUUGAUUUAUUUUAGCUUUAUUUAACCAGGCAAGUCAGUUAAGAACAAAUUCUUAUUUACAAUGAAGGCCUACCCCGGCCAAACCCUAACCCGGAUGACAUUGGGCCAAUUGUGCA